UGGGGCAUCCGGGUGUGGAGGGUGCACAGAGUAGGUGUGCUUGGGGUGCUGGGUGUGCACAGCAUAGGGCUCUGAAGCCAGAGCCCGUGUCCUGUGGAAGGCACCCCACCUAUGUCAAGCAAUGAGAAAGGCUCACUUGUUGUUUGUAAUUAUUUACUCACUUUGCCAAAGUUCCAACUGCUCGGCCCAGCGGAGGUUUGGGGAUCCAGGCUCGGGCAGACCCAGGUGCGCUCGCACCUGCCCACACAGGACGGCCAUGACGAGCCACAGCCAGGCACUUGGCUGUUCCUUUCCUUCCCUCCUGUCAUGCUGCAGCAGGGACAGCCGUCAGCCUGAGCUUGGCUCCGACUCGGGGUGCAAAGGGAAGCUCUUUCAGAACUGGCCUGGGCACGGGGCCCUGGCAGAACGCUCCUGUCUGCAGACCAUCCCAGACACCCACAGCCCCAAAGCUAAGGAGCCCGAGGAGGCCCCCCGCAGGGUCAGGACGGCACUGGCGGGGGCCGGAAAGGACGCGAAGGGGGCUGGGUGAGGUGUGCAGCCCCGUUGCUGACCUUCGACCCAGGGUCCCCAGCACAUCUCUGUUGUCCCUGUGGUGCUCUGGGCUCUGUGUCCACAGGACCAUAUGCACAGCCCACUGCAGUGUCGUUUAUCACCCCGAAAAACAGCCGACCUGCUUCCUGGAGGGGGGCAGGGUUGCCCAAACUGUGGCUUGUCCAUGGCUCAGAAGAUCGUGCCGACAUUGGAGGGAGGAUUUUGGAUAUCUCAGUAAGAAAAUUAAAAUGGAAAAUGAUAUUCAAAAAUAUGAAAUGGCAGAGUGAAAGAUCAGAAUAGAAAACCGUGGUUACAUGAAAUUUCAGCUAAGAGAAAAUGUAUGCAUGUGAGAAAUGGUAAUAGAUUCACUUCAUCAGGGUGGAAAGUGCUUUUUGUUCUAGUUUUCUGCUUUUCUAAUGUUCUGCUUUUAUAACUGAAUGCUGUAUUUGAAUAAUAAAAGGGUGUUUUCUUUCGCAGCACCAGGAAGUGCCUUGGGUGGUGGGGCCCAGUCUGUCUGAGCAGAGGCAGCCUGGCGACCAGAGCCUCCGGUGAGCUGGGGUGCCAGUUCUGGCCACAGACAGACACGGUGACAGGUGUGUGUGGGCCCCAGGGACAGGACUGGUACAUGAGUGGCCACUGCACCACACUCAGUGUGGUUGGUGGCACGCUGCCUGGCCCACUCCUCAUCUCCCAUGCAUGUUAGAAUCUGUUGUCUUUGGAUGUGCGAGGGCCACCGUUGCUAAGCACCACAACUGAGAAGUGCUGUCCACAGCUCUGGAGCCUGGCAUCUGGGACCGGGAUUGGGGAGCUGCUCUUUCAGGGCUGGGGAGGGUCUCCCAGACCUCACCCCUGGGCUGACAGGUACUGGGUCUCCCCGUCUCUUUAUACCAUCUUCUCUAUGUGCCUGUCCACCUCUGUGGACCUCACCUAAGCAAGCCUCUAUGGAGGCUUCAUUCUGAGGUCCAGGGUGGGAUUCCCACUCACCCUUUAAGGGCAGACAUGAUCAACCCACAAAGGCCCUUUCUCUAAAGUCUGAAAAUUCCUACAGACAGGAAGAGGCACACCUGCCCCUACAGAGGAAGGAACUGAGAAGUCACAGUGACCGACAGCCCACCAGCAGCAGGCCUCGAGCUGGGCUGGGUGGACUCUGCUGUUGGCCUUCACCCCUCUCCGGGGGACUCAGGCUGCAUCCCCUUCUGGGUUUGUAGCAGGAGCUACGGUGCUGGAGGCUCUUGUUCAAUAUACAGAAACUCAGGCGACAAUUUCAAACCCCAAUUCCAGAGAGGCUGGGAUUUUCUGGGUAGAAAUGUGAAUCUGAGAGACAACCUUGUUGUCUGUUUCAGUGACUCCCCAAGUAGGAGAGCUGACUGUCUUUGGAAGGUGAGCGGGCGGGAGCCCUACACCCUCCAGCCCUGCUCACAGUCCACACCCCCACCCAGCAAGGCCAGCCGCUGCCCACGGCCUCCAUGCUCACACCUGCCCAGGUGACUGGAGAAGAGAGUGGGUCCAGAGCCCUCUGUCAGAUGGAGCACCCCAGAGAGGGCGAGAGAGGGUGCCCGGGCUGGGCUGUGGGCAAGGGCUCUGCGGCCAGGGGGAACGCACAGAGGAGAGAAGGCUCGCCGCGCUGUACGGUCAUUCUUGGUCCUCCUCCAUGGCUUGGGCAGCAGGCUGGGAACGCAACGCAGCUUCUGCGGAAUGGACAGAGGCCACUCAGGCCUAGCCCCUCGGCAGGGGUCACCUCCAGAGGAGCUCCCUGGCCGCAGCCCAGGGCAGCAGGCCCAGACCUUCCCUCACUAUAGAGCAUUUGCCUGCUGACGUUCUGCAGAGCUUGCUUUCUUGAUUUCACUAUUUAUGCACAAAUAAUUACUCGUAAAAUUUAUUAGUUUAGUUCUUCAUUUCAGCAAAACUGGUGUUUGUGUCUCUGUGAGAUAAUGCAAUUGCUCUGUAAGAAAAGCCAUGCUCGUCCCAGGGGCACACCCAUCUUCACCAUGGCUCCGCCCUGGCGGGUGCCUGGGCAAUCAUCCAGCACAGGGAGGGCUGCCUCCCUCCAGACAGCUGCCUUCCACAGGCCUGUAAGAGGCCAGCUCUGCCCCGCCUCCUGAUGGACCCUGCCGGUCCCUGGCCCGCCUGCCCGCAGGUGCUGCCAGCGUCCCCCAACCAGCACCCGGCUGCAGGAGCCGGCAGGCCGAGGGGCAGCCAAGGGGAAGCUGAGGGCUGGCUCCUGCAUCAUGGCUCUCGACCCCGCGGCGGCUCAACAUCUCCCGGGUCAGCCCACUGUGCAGGGGCUCCGGCACAGGUUCCUGAAACCACCCGGGAGGCGGAACAAGGUAGCCUGGUGCAGGACACGGCUGCCACCCCGGAUCCAAGAUUGACAGACACAGACCACCGACUCCUCGGGCGGGGGCAAGCCUCGGGGUGCCAGCUGUCGCCACUGUCAGGCUGUGAGGCAGCAGGGUGACCAGGACUGGCAGGUCCAGACUGCCUGGCUGCACACACCUGCCCUCCCCGUCCCUGCAGCCAUCUCCCACCUGCACCAGGGACUCUUCAGUCCCGUGUGUAGACCGAGGGGCUCUGUGUCGGGUACGGAAGUGCUGGGCCUUGUCUCUAGGAGAACUCCAAUGAGGACACCUUCUGGAACUUUCCAAGUGCUUGGGACGAAUGAGAACAUGUACAGCCUUCUCACAGGGGAGAGAAGAUGCUCUCUCAGAGGCACAGCCACACUGAGACCCAGCUGGACACAGUCCCCUGGUCCCCAUGACACCUGGCUGCCAUGCCCAGAGGGGCAGUCGCACAGCCACCCAGGCCGCGCCACACCCACCCCCCCACCUCACCGGCCUGCAGGGUGCCGUGCCCCAUGGGUCACGUCAGGAAAGAGGGCACAGGCCCUCACUCACAUACAGCACCAGAAACAGUCCAGGGCAGAGGACAACAUGCAGGAGAACGGUGAGUCCCUGUCCAGGGCACCCACAGUGGCGCCCUGCCUGGGAGGCCGUCCCUCUCUGCCCCACGGUCGUCUGGGCAGCUUUCAGAUCUAACUCCGUCUCUUCCCACCUUCCUCCUGCUGCGCCCUGCAGCCCGAGGCCUUCCGCCCGACUCACCAAACAGCAUAGUGGACUUGUGAAGCAACAGUGCUGAGAGUCAGGCGUGGAUAGGAAGGAAAAGUGGUUUCUAAACCCCAGAGGCCUGGGAAGGAGGGAGGGCAGGAUGCAGGCCCCUCACGGCCUGCCCAGCGGGACUGGGGCUCCAGCGACUGGACCAGAGGAGCGGCUCUGAGGCCAGCCUCCGCUCCCUGGCUGCAGAGAGCAGAACAGGAGGGUGGACACUGCCCAGAGUGGCCCAGGAGUGGCUGAGCC
This 3884-nucleotide long non-coding RNA is filed under the name Marmota monax (woodchuck). The record is from RNAcentral. Lineage: Eukaryota; Metazoa; Chordata; Mammalia; Rodentia; Sciuridae.